This 299-nucleotide unclassified non-coding RNA is filed under the name Hevea brasiliensis (rubber tree). Lineage: Eukaryota; Viridiplantae; Streptophyta; Magnoliopsida; Malpighiales; Euphorbiaceae. The record is from RNAcentral.
AAUAAAAGCGGCUUAUUCGACGUUGUGGGCGGAGAAUUGAAUGAAACAUUUCUUUUAGGUAAAUUGUAAAUUCAAAUUGAAAUUUGGGUUGUUCAACAGGCGUCACCCAAAUGCAAAAUGAUGGAGCAAUCCAUUUCCAAUCCUUCAAUCUCUAUCCUCAAAUCGUUCCAUUUCUCUUCUUGUCAUUCCCAUUCCUACUUCUAUAAUUACAAUUGUAUUUCUCCUUUACAAAUUCUAUACCAAUUUGUGGAUUCAUCCAAUGCUGCGAUUCAGGCUCACAAUGAUUCCUCGGCUGCCAA